GGACUCAGCGGUUUCCUGGGCAACCGGCCUCCUCCGGCGCGGCCCGCGCGGCUCCAGGUGGCGGGAGGCGGCGGUUGGCGGGAAGGGCCGCGCGGGCCCGGGGGCGGCGCCUCAGAUGCGCUCUUUCCAGAAAGGCAGCACACGCAUGUCUCUGCCGUGGCCCCAGAUCCUCCCCGCGCCGCCGUUUUGAGCGUUCACACUCAUUACCCAGGUCCGUCUGGGAGACCCGCCGGGCUCCCGCCCUCCCGGCCCGCAGCCUCCUGGCCAAAAUCCUCCCGGGACACCCCACCUGGACUGCUGCGAACGGGCCUCCACCCGCCUCCCCGGACCCGCAGCGCCCCCCGCUCCCUCAGGGUUCUGGGGUGAAGGGGUCUGAAUAGCACCAGGGGAGGCGGCAGGGCGGGCCUGUCCUACCUGCGCCCGAGCACUGCUGAGACGACAUCCCUUCCAGCGCCGCCACGUAGUCCAGCCCCAGCCAGCCGCGGUCCUGGAAGCACCGCAGGCAGACGACCUGCUCCUCACUGGGCUCAGGCAGGGUCACCCGCCCAGUGCCGCUAGCUGCAAAUUGCUUUACAUACAGUGACCCAAAGAGCAAGUCAUUUCAGGGCCCCACCACUCUGAUUGGAAGUCAUAAGCUUGACAACUGAUUGGCCUCUGUCACCCAAGCGGGUGUGGGGACACUAGGCCCGCAGGUGCCACUGGAAGAGGCGUUCAGAAGCACUGCGGUGCUCCAGCUCCUGGAUGCAGAAAGACCCAGAAAUGAGGGAUGGUGUGGGUGGGAUUCCUGAGCGUUCUGCUAGGCCUGCUGAGCACUUCUUGGCCUUUUCCAUAAGGCUUUCUCACUCUGUCUUACAGAUAUCUCCCCACAAACCUAAACAAUUUCGAGAGGGACUUGUGUUCUGCAACCAGUCACAGAAUAUCAGGUGAGCUGGGCGUGUCUUCACUGACCCACCCGCCCAGGGAUGCUGCACUCCUCUCCACCCUGCUCAGAAUCACUAGAAUGACCGUUCUGUGGCUACAGCCCUAAAAGAGCUACUAAAAAGACCAGAAGUAGUAUGAGAACUUAUGAAUACGAAUAUAAAUAAAGGACAUCUGGAGAACAUGCAUGAAUGUCUAUGUAAAGUGUUAAGUACUGAUCAAGGAGGAACGAAGGAGUCAGGUGGCUCUCAGUCUUUUUGGAGGGACUCGCAGAUCCUCCUGAAGAUCUGAUGAAAGCUGUCAGCCUUCUCCCCAGAAAAAUGCACAUCCACCCAGGAUUCUUCUCCCACAUUACUUCAGAGGACUUAGCAACCCCCUAGGGAAGCCCAGGGACCCAGAGUAAAGCACUCCUGGGAUAGAGGGGUUCUGUGGGGAAGAUGACAGGAAGGAACAUGCGUCAGUUCACAAUGUCAAAGUUUAGGAACAGGCCUGGCGAGCCAGCCAGCUCUGCAGUUCUGUGGUGCUGGUGGGUGUGGAGAAGGCAAUUUCAGCAUAAGUCGGGGGAGGGGGAGUGGUUAGAAACCAGUGGCUCCAUUGUGAGACAACCUGGGUUUAAAUUCUAGGUAUAUU
This 1548-nucleotide long non-coding RNA is filed under the name Homo sapiens (human). RNAcentral's name for it is "HSALNT0317621". Lineage: Eukaryota; Metazoa; Chordata; Mammalia; Primates; Hominidae. The record is from RNAcentral.